GCCGUCAUAGCUCAGUGGUAGAGCACUUCCAUGGUAAGGAAGGGGUCCCGAGUUCAACUCUCGGUGACGGCUCCA
Molecule: transfer RNA, 75 nt
Filed under: Candidatus Saccharimonadota bacterium
Lineage: Bacteria; Candidatus Saccharimonadota
Description: tRNA-Thr
Rfam family: tRNA
About the family: Transfer RNA (tRNA) molecules are approximately 80 nucleotides in length. Their secondary structure includes four short double-helical elements and three loops (D, anti-codon, and T loops).
Source: RNAcentral